GUUGAAUUAGUCUAUAUGCCCAUAAUUUCAUUUGAAAUUCUCCAAAGCUUUUUUCUGUCAUAUUUUAUAUCAUUUAUCUUAGUUUCAUAAUACAGCGUUUCUUCUUCUUUUUGUUCAGUUUAGCCACAUAAUUUCUCGGUUUGCCAAUCAGAUGUGCAGACAGAUUUAUUAGCCACUCCUUUUGCGUCAUCUCUCUCAACCACACAGUUUUUCAGUUCCUCAUCAAUCCACGGCACCUUGGCAGAUCUAACAGUUCGUUUCUUAAUAGGGUUAUGUCUAUCAAUAACUGGAAGGAGAAAUUUCAUAAAUAUUUGUAGAUCUUUAGUUGUUGUGGAGCUUUUGUCCCGAACUCAUUACGGUGUUUUAGGUGCCAAGCUUAUUAUCAUGUCGCAGCUGUGUGUAGGAGGGAAAUUCCUAGAUGUGAGAAGUGUGCAUUAGGGCAUGAGACAAAGAAAUGUGUAGUGUUGGUGGAAAUAAAUGUUGUGUGUUAACUGUAGGGCACCUUAGUGGCACCUAGUGGCACCUGUAGUGGCACCUUCAUUGGGGAGAACAGGCUCGUGGUAAUGGCUGGAGCAGAAUCAGUGGAAUGGUAUCAAAUACAUGGAAACCAUGUGUUUGAUGCCAUUCCAUUUGCUCCGUUCAAAACAUUAUUAUGAGCCGUCCUCACCUCAGCAGUGUCCACUGUUGUAGGCACUGUUGUAGGGGUACCCAUGGUGCUGGAGUUCAGAAGUGUUGGUUAUGAACUAUACCGCAGAAAUGAAACGUGAAUCACAGAAAAUAGAUGUGGUGGCAGCUGCAUAGAAGGACUUGGGUCUAUGGGAUUUUACUGCAUUAGAGUUACAAGGUGUGUUCAACAAUAGUGUUCCGUUCUCCCAGUCUUCCAGCUUGGAGUAGAAUCAGAUAGGACCAAGUAGUGGAAUAGUGGUGAGGUUUUAAUGGGUGUAGGGUUAGUUGGUAUAGUGGUGAAGUUUUAAUGGGUGUAGGGUUAGUUGGUAUAGUGGUGAGGUUUUAAUGGGUGUAGAGUUAGUUGGUAUAGUGGUGAAGUUUUAAUGGGUGUAGGGUUAGUUGGUAUAGUGGUGAGGUUUUAAUGGGUGUAGGGUUAGUUGUUAAAGUGGUGAGGUUUUAAUGGGUGUAGGGUUAGUUGGUAUAGUGUUGAGGUUUUAAUGGGUGUAGGGUUAGUUGGUAUAGUGGUGAAGUUUUAAUGGGUGUAGGGUUAGUUGGUAUAGUGGUGAGGUUUUAAUGGGUGUAGGGUUAGUUGGUAUAGUGGUGAGGUUUUAAUGGGUGUAGGGUUAGUUGGUAUAGUGGUGAGGUUUUAAUGGGUGUAGGGUUAGUUGGUAUAGUGGUGAAGUUUUAAUGGGUGUAGGGUUAGUCAGUAGGGACAUUUGUCUUCCCUUUUCCCUUUUUGUGUCACAAAGUGCAAUGAAUUCACACUCCAGAACAGUAGGUGGCGGUGUACGCAUCCCUUCAGUUGGUUGCGAUCCAACAAUACAUAUUUGAAGAAGAAGAAGAAAGUUGUGCUGACAGACUGUUCACAUGCUGUUUCCUAACCCAAGUGUUGGAACUGUUACUGGGAAUAAGAUUGGGUGCCAAAUCAGUGUGGGCUAGUUACUUUACCGUGUAAUGUGACUGUGUAAGAUUGGUUUGUUAGCUACGCUUUUACACAGCUGUUUGCCAGCUUCCUGCUAAUUCCAGCAUUGUUUGUUUGUGUGUGUCCGUGCAUGCUAUCUCGUUUUAGUAUGGUUAUCAUUGCUACAAGUGUGUUCGUUGAGCGCAACAACCCUACUUACUAGUGUGUUAUUAGCAAUGUUUGUAUUACUUGCGUGAUACCGCUGCAAUAUGUAUAGCCCAUAUGUUACUGCUAUAGUAGCUUGAUCCACUAUACAAAUUCUUGAAGAUCCCAGAAUGUUCUAGUCCUUUCUGUGCACUGGCGCAGGCUCUGUAGCCCUGUGAUAAAGAUCUCAGUCAGGCCAUAGAUUGACCCUUAAAGCUCCACGGUCUUAGAUUUCUCUCUCUUUGGCCAUGAAUAUUCUUACUGAUGUCUAGGACAUUUCUUAUUUGAUUUAACUAGGAAAGUCAGUUAAGUACAAAUUUGUAUUUACAAUGACAGCCUACCCUGGCCAAACACUAACCCGGAUGACGCUGG
Molecule: long non-coding RNA, 2143 nt
Filed under: Salmo salar (Atlantic salmon)
Lineage: Eukaryota; Metazoa; Chordata; Actinopteri; Salmoniformes; Salmonidae
Description: lncRNA (ENSSSAG00000082678.1)
Source: RNAcentral